CAGGAGGUCUAUUUAUUUGUCAAGUCAACGUUUAGUAAUAAGGGAGAACAAAGUUUACCCUGCUAUCAGAAAAUAAGAAAUCAGAAUCCAGUCAUAUGGGAUGGGAGAAGCUCGCAAGCUAUUACAACUGAACUCAGGAAGCAGAUAAUCAGCUAGGAAAGAGGUACCCUUAAAUGCCAGGCUGUAUCUGAGAGUGUAUCUCCCUUGAUCAGAGCCCAGAGUACAAGCUAAACAAUUCCUUCAUAAAUCAGCACACAUCAGCUUCUAAAAUCAGCAAUAUGUCUCCAAACAUCUUGAACUGACAUUAAGAAAUGCUGCACCAUUGAGAAAAUGGUUUCCAGUUAUUUGAACUUAAAGAAUUAACUUGUUGAAGCACAUCUUUAAUCAUUGAUAAGUUACUGAAUUCAAAGAGAAGUAAUAAUGAAUGGUAAACCAAUUAACUAGGAAUUAUAUUUCAAUUUUUUUUUGCUUUGGCAAACUUGAUGAUUAGUUGAUAUUUUUUCAAUAUUUAGGAACAAGGAACACAUAUAAAUUUCACAUUUGUGUUUUUAGCAUUUUGACCAGCAAUUCAUUUUUCAAUUUCAUGUGUGAAGCUAAACUGAUGAUCUGUUAAUCUUCGUUUGUUUGGAAUUAGCCUGAAAAGUGCUAAAUACUGCUUUUUGGAUAGAAUCUUGAGUGGACUAGAACCAGUUUGUUAGGAAAAAAUAAAUCUGAGCCUACUUUACGUUUGAAGUAACUGAACGAUUACAUGAUUGCUUGGCUAUUUUAACAGUUGAUCUUGAUUUCCACACAAUGUGCAAAUUUAUUAUUACUAUAAACAAAAGGGGAAAAAACCCUUACAUCUAUUACAAAAUGCUUUAAGAGAUAGUAUUUAGUCAUGAUAUUUAUUAACACAGUUCAUAGUAAAGCUGAAAUAUGGCAAUAAUCUGGUUAGUUUGAUUUAUGUGGAUAGACAAAUUAUCUGGUUGUCAAAUACAUUACAAAACUCAUAUUUUAAUUUCUAUUUUAUAGACAUGAUUUUAAUGAUCUGUAUAUUUUACAUUCAUGUCACGUUCGUACCCGAAAUCUCUAAUUAAUUCAUGUUUUCCAUUACACCUUGGAGUAAUCAUUGCCCAGCUAUAGGGAACAGUAUGAAAUGAAGUGUGUUAUGCAUCAUUAAAUGUUUAUGUUAAAAUAGGGCAUUAUCUAGUUAGUUAAUUUAGACCAGGUAAAACUACACAAAAACGUUUCUCUCUGUUGCUCAGCAAUUCAGCCGUUUCUCUGCACAUCCUUCCUCAAGUUCUCCUGUCCCAUUCACAUUAAUUAUUCAAGGUCCCGAAACUUUUUCUUCCAGCAACGUUUGCUCUGAUACUCAUUCAAAGGUAUAAAUAAUUGACAACAGCUUAGAAUGUGAGUUUUCUCAGUAGCAUUUGGAUUUUAUUGAGGUUCAAAUUUUUAAACUACAAAAAUGGUGAAUGCAUCAGUAAAUGGGUGAUGGAAAUAUUUGGGGAGGAUGCACUGUUUGCAGUUGUCCUUGAAAUUGGAUCAAGUAGCCACUUGCCUACUCUGUCUGCUAGGAAGGCAGAUAAGAAUUCUGCACCUUCCUCUUCUACCCCUUAAAACUCUCCUUUGUUUCACAUAACCAGAAAAUGUUUAUUUUAAUUAUCUAGAUAUUCCAUUUCUAUUUUUCCUUUUUUACUGUAAGAAAUGGCAUGGUAAAAGAUUCAAUAAAACCAUAGUAUUUUAUGCUCAAUACUCUAAAUUAAGAAUUAAAGUCCUACUAUCUAGAUGCCAUUCCAAAUGAUUAAUUUUGUUUCACAUUGUUCAUAAGAAUAAUACAUUACUUUAGGUGAUGUUUUUUCCCACCAAAUUGCUUAGUUAAAAAAAAAACAUUAGUAAUUGCUAGUUCCUAUUAUCUAAGUAGAUAAAAUAUAAUUAGAAAAACAACUGGAUAGUUUCACUCUACGUUGUUCUCAGUGCAAUGUCCAGUUUGCAAAUGCUUCAUUCAUUUGUUAAUUUUAGAGGACAGCAUUUCAGUGCAAUAAUUGAAAAUAGCUCAUAGCCUGUUCUGUGAAGAAACAAAACAUUGGUUGUGUUGGUGUCAAGUAAGUUAAUUAUGCUUUAUCACCUUCAAAUGGAGCAUAUAAUUGAUUUAUGAAAUUCUGCUAUCGUGUUGAGACCAUUAUUAGUAAUCAAGAAUUCCAAUAGUUUCUUCUUAUUCCUCAUGUACAAAAUCAUCUGGGUAUUCCAUAUGUUUAAAAACAAUUCAAUUUGGAGCACUUGUACUAUCAUAAAUUGAUGAAUUAAAAACUAGAUACAAAGUGUGGAAACUACUGUAAAAGAUUACUGACUUCUAAAAAAUAUUGCAUUUAUUGUGGCAAUACAUUCUUAUUCAGCAAUAUGACUAUGUAAUUUUUCUGUAGUACUUUGUAGAAUUUUCAUUAAUUCCACUUAAAAUCAAUGGCUUAUAUACAGUUCUUUUUUGUGACAUGAAAACUAUAACAUUUUGGCUGAUCAAUGUUCUUUUGCUUGUUUACUUUUAGGUCUUUACAAUUACCUAAGGAAUUGCCUGAGGCAUUGAACAUAUUGCCGGAUAUUUAGCUGCAAACAAACAAAAAUGUUUUCAAACAAGGAUGUAGAUGAAAAAGCUAUACAAUGAUUUUAAUACCACCUCCACUCCAUCACCUCUACACCACCAGCACUGUCACACAUACUCUCAGAAUGUUUGGUAUCAUAUACAACUCUCCUAAAGCAAGAGAUAAUGUCAAAAAUUUAAAAAGAGAAUGCUACUCCUACAUUUCCAGGUAACAUAAAGAGUUGUAACCCUUGAACUUCCUGUAUAUAUUAAUAUUUGUUUUCAACACACUAAUUGCCUUGGACCUCUAUGAAUUUUAUGUAUUUAAUAAAUUAAUGCAAGUGUUCAUCUUAAUUUUAGAUUUACAUUUGUUAUCUUUGAACUAUAUCAAUUUCUCAUAAAACAAUUAAGAAACAGCAUAAACAAAAAGGGAAAUGAAAAUAUUUCAUUUCAUUAUUUAAGUGUUUGAUAAUGCUUGGUAUCAAGUAGACAUAAUCAGAAGAGUAUUUAAUAAAGCAAUGGAUUAGGAAGGGGCUGUUAGAGAACAUAGAUGGUAUUACUCUUUAAUAAUUAGGUACAAAAAUAAGGUCUUAAUAAAUUGGAAAUUUAUGUUUUCCAUUGAAUGUUCUUAAAAUGCCAAUAGAAUUAUAGUGAAAUGAUUUUCUUUGCUGAUUCCUAUGAUAGUAUGAUACAUACCUUAUUUUAGAUAUUUACAUUUUCAUUCUGUUAGAAUGAAAUACCUGUAUGUAUUCCAUGUGCUGACAUAUAACAAAAUCUGGGAUUUAAGAAAAUGUACUUCAAAAAUGUAAAAAUUGCAGAUAAUUGAAAUUUGAGGUAUUUAUAAUACAAAUAAGGACCAUUUAAAAUAUACCAACAGGCAUUAUUAAAAAUAAGUAUAUAGUUCUGUAAAGAUUGUGUGUGUUAUAUAUUGACUAUCAAACACUGGACAUUUGUGAACUAGCUUUUUGCUAUUCCUAAGUAUUAUCUUUCCAAAAACUUGCUAUGAAGGUCAUUUAUAUUUCCUUUCUAAAUGGAUUUUGAAUAAAACAUAAGAGCUGUAUUUAACAUUCUGCAUCUGAAUUCCAAGACUCUGAUUGUAUGCCUUCUUUUACAUUACAAAUCUAUCAAAUAGAGAUGAUUUUCCUUUUGAAUUCCAUAUUACCUAGCAAUAUUUAACACCUGAAAUGCUAGAAGUGGCACCCAUUGAUCUUUGCUCUGCAUUGAAAGUUGAUCAGUACAUGGCCUCAUGAAAGAAAAAUGUUCUUUCUAGGGUUUAAUAAAUGCUUCACAAUGAGUUUUUUUUUUUAAGUAGGCCUUAAUACCUAAUCACUUGCAUUCGGUGGCUAGAUUUGAGUGGAUAAGAACACCUACCAAAGUACAACUUCCAAUUUUUAUUUCAGAAGGAAACCAUCCUUGAGAGAUGAGAAAAUAACUUACUUUAAGCUUUAUUCAUUUUUGUAUUUGGCUGCCAUAAAAUAUCUUUUACUAAGUAGCUUUAGGGUUUUUUUUUUAAUCUAAUCCUGAUUAAAUUAAAAGAAAAACCUGGUAAGUUAAUUGUAAGCUUUCCCAUAAAAGAGAGAAGCACAAAAUGCCAUGGAAUAUAUCCAAGAAACAUAACAUAAACAUGAGACUUACAAUGCACAAUUUAAAAUUUCAUAUGUUGUCAAAUGAUAAAUGUCUGUUCCAGCUAUGAAUACUUUAACUUCAAAAAUCUUUCAUAGCCUUAAAAAAGAACUCUCACAGAAACAGAAGCUGGAAUGUUAUUUGUGAACUAGGCCUUGCACCUUGUCAAUAUUUUUAGUUCUUAAAUUUCUGGAAUGUUCUAAAGACAUAAAACAUCUACUUCAUUUUGAAAUUUUGAUUUUAACAUUUCACUAACAACACUGGGAAAGGAUCAUCUUAACUAAAGGUGUCAAGACUAACGUUUGAGCUUAGCCGUUGAACUUUCUCUUAGGGGAAACAGUUUAAUCCCCAAGUACUAUGAGAUAGGCGUUUUAAGGCAACUUUUUAAAAAGGAAAAUAAAUCUGCUUUUUGCCGUCUAGGAAAGAUACAUUUUUCCUUGUGGAAAUCUGCAGUCUGAAAAGACAGAUAUGAAAAGCAUGAACUGUUGAAAAUAACCUAAAUGUUCUUUGAAAAUUUAAAGGCCAGCUUAUCCUGCAAUGGUGAUAGAAUAGUCGGCUUACAACACGCAAAGCCGAGCCGCGGGUGGGCAGGCGCCGCCCGUGGCUCGCGGAGUGGAUGCACUCGAGGGCGCGGCCGCUGCGCUUGGGGAACUUUCAGGGCGCCAAGUACGGGUAGCGCUUCUGAUGGAUUCCCGGGUCUGGGAGGAUCCGAUUAUCCCGGGGCCGGGUGACACGCACAAAGCUGAGGUUAGAGUUGGCCAGGAAGGGAGGACCUGGUGAGCCGGUGGAACAAAAGCGGGAAGGCCUUUCCUUCUAGGAGCAAAACCAGCGACGCGUCCCGGACGCCCGGGGACCCCUGUGGGUCUCGGUUUCCUUCGCUGUGACCCUGACAUGUUUCCCUCCACCGGCCCGAGGAAACCGUCGCUUCCAGCCUCCAGGUACCGUCACCUCUGCGGGGCUGCGAGCGGAGGACCGGGACAGAGAAGGAGCCGGCGGUCCUGGCCAGCCGCGCGGCUCAAAACCCGACGGCGCGGGGACUCCGGGCCUGGGGCCUCCAUGGCUGUGGCCUCCUUAUCUCCCGGGCCGGCUGCUCCCUACGCUGCGGGGCUGAGGGCACUGGGGACCCAGGGGCUUCUCUGGCACUAGCGAGGACCUAACCUUGAGUGAAGAACGAUGUCAAGUGAAAGUGAAGAAUAACGGGGGUGGGCGCGAAGAGAAUGGUCUUGGGGCGCGCUUGCGCCUCUACCCGAGGACCGAGGUGGGGAUUCGACAGACGCCAGCGGUGGGGAUCCGGGGCGAGAAGCCCCGACUUUCUGAGUCGUGAGCCGCCUCCAGUCGCCCCAGGACGUAACCCCGAGGAGCUUUCAGACACUGGCCGCGCCUAAUAUCGCUGAGAACCGCGAAAACCGGAGUUCCGGCCGCCUCCCGGACUGGCGUCCCGAGGCCAGGGGACCCGCUUGGGGCUCCCGGCCGAGCCCCGACCUCGGACGUUUUUCCGGGAGCCGCGAGAGGCCUGGGGGCCUGGGCCAGGCGCCGCGGCGGGCAUCGAUCGCCGGCUCCCAGAGAGUGGCCCCGCGCAGGUGGAGGUGACCCCGUCACCUCCAGGAGCGCCCCCAAGCCCCGGUACCCGCAGCGUGCGCCCUCUCCUCCUCCCCGAAGGUGUUAUCUUAGGAGCCAAGCAUCUCCUUUGGUCCUGCGCUCCUUCGCCUAGCGCCUGGUGCCCCCCACCCGGCUGCAUCCGAGGCUUGCGCGGCCCGGUCCCAUCAGCCGAGCGUCGCCCGCCCAGGAGGAGGCUCGGGUUCUCCGCAGAAGCGAAUACUUUCUCUUUUUGUUUUAAGUUAGAACCUUGCUUUUGCAGUGAUUCGUUGCUGUGGCGUGAUUUUAAACAGCGAUGGAGUCCUGCUAUGUUGCCCAGGCUGGUCUUGAACUUCUAGCCUCAAGUGAUCCGUCUGCCUUGGCCUCCCAAAGUGCUGGGAUUACAGUCAUGAGCUACUAUGCUGGGUCUAAAACCUCAGUAAUUAACCGGAAACCAGAUGAGAGUUUCACUAUGGGAAUUGGGUUAGGUGCAGCUAAUCACAGUGAAGAAUAGAUUAAAAUACAUGGAUUUGCAAAUCAGAAUGCAGGUUCUGCUGCUAACUUUGGGAAAUUCAGCUAAUUCUCUGUGUCUUUGUUUCUAUGCUAGUAAUGCUUUAUUUUAAAAUGUAUUUAUGGUUAUUAAGAUGUAAUUCACAUACCAUAAAAUUUAUCGAUUUAAAGUGUACAAGUCAGUGUAUUUACAGACUCAUG
Molecule: long non-coding RNA, 6463 nt
Filed under: Homo sapiens (human)
Lineage: Eukaryota; Metazoa; Chordata; Mammalia; Primates; Hominidae
Description: HSALNT0356810
Source: RNAcentral